This 5793-nucleotide long non-coding RNA is filed under the name Homo sapiens (human). Its description in RNAcentral is "HSALNT0030991". Lineage: Eukaryota; Metazoa; Chordata; Mammalia; Primates; Hominidae. The record is from RNAcentral.
UGGCCACUCUCUCUGGUUGCCAGCCCAGCACCAAGCCUCCCAGACAUUGAUUCUCUGCUGCUCUGUGGCAUAGAAGACUACAGUGAUGGGCUCUGCAGACUUCACCUUGGAGUCCCCCUUUCAUCCCUGCUCAUUAGUCUCCUCCUCGGUUGUUUGGUUGAAUGUUUCCUAAUGCCAAGGGACAAGGCCACCUACAUCCCAAGCCAGCUGGAGGAGCAGCUUCCAGUCUUCAGAGAUGGGCCCCUCUUCUUCAGUUGGCCUUGGUAGUCAGGACAGAGGACAGAGGGAUAUAUUGUAACAUAUAUUGUAAAAUUUGAGCCACAUACACGGGAUAAAUGACAACGCAAAUAAUCAUCUCCGAAAAGAAAUCUGACAUCCGACGACUUAGAGGCCAGAGCCAUUGCUGACGCUCCUGGGGAGGAACAUUCUUUGCAAGCAUUUGUGCCUCAGUGAGGGUGGUGGGGAGCCAGCAAAGUGCUGGGCUCUGCAGAAAUCUAGGGGGCUGCCUGGGUGAUGUACAAAUGCAGACCUAUUACAUCAAUAGAAAAAUGUAAUGUGUUCAUUACUAUCAAGGCGGAGUGCUUUUUAAAUUCACCAUUUCUGAAAGACUCAGGAUUAAUGUCAAACUGUAUGAAAAGACCCAGCCUUUCACCUUUCUUUCUCUUGACCAUAGAAUGCGGGUCUAGUAGGGGGAGAGCAAAGGGGGCACUUUAGAAGAAUUGUGAAGCAAGCACAGACAGGGUCACAGAGAGCCCUGGUAUAGCAGAGGUCCACCCCCACCCUGGUGUCCUCAUACACAUUAUCGCACUAAGGAACUAGGCAGAACUCUAAGAAGGGCUGGUGAAGGAGAGAAGACACGGGGACUCAGCACAUUGGCUGUGCUGACAUAUGUGAGCCUGAGUUGGAAGAUGGCGUGAAUUAAGACUGAAGCCAAGACCCCCUCCCUCAAAAACAGCACUUAUAGAUGUUAGAGGGCAGAAAGGCAAAGUCAGAGGAAGCCUAAGGUUAAGUGAGUACGUACCCUGCACCGGGCACUAUCCAAGGUACUUUACAUGAAUUCUUAAAGAGCUUCUGAGAUAUAAAUAUUAUUAUAAAACCCAUUUGACUAAUGGAAACCUGAGGGUCAGAGAGGUUAAAUAAUGCACUAAAUGACAUACUUGAGGUCACCGAGAUAGAGAGUGGCAUAUUCAGAAUCGGAAACUAAAUCUGUAAUACCUCCCAGGCUCAUGUUCCUUUUAUGCCACAUGCCAUGUGUAGCCCCAAUGUCAAGGGCUAGGGGUGGGGAAAAAGAGCAGACAGCAGGCAGGAUGAGACUCCCUGGAGGUCUGAGGGAAGGAACAUCCUGGUGUAGGAAUAUUGUGCCUGCAAGGUUGCUGAGAUAUGUCUGUACACAGCCUGGUGAAUCUGGAAGUGUUGAAGAAAUGGCUUUUGUUUUGUUUUGUUUUGUUUUUUUAAACAGGAGCCAGAAACCAGAGGGAUCCCUAAGAGGACGAAGACAGCUGCAGAGCAAGUCCAGGUUACCCUGAAACUGAAGGUGUGAAGGUGCAAGCUCAGAGCCCAAACCCAAAGGCCACCAUACAGAUGGGGAACUGGUGGGACACCAGCAUUCCUGGGGCUCAGUGUGAGUGCAGGCAGCAUGGACAGGGGGUGACAACAUACAGUGAGGGUGGGGGCAGGCCAUGUCCUGGCUUCAUGAGACAGGCUAAUGUUGUUUGCAUGCCCAGCUAUUUACAAUCAGGAGACUGAACUGUGACUCUGCAGAGGCUUAUACCAGCUAUAUACAGGAGCCCUUUUUCUUGUAUGCUUUGCCCACUGUAGACACUCACGACUGUAGGGAUCCCAGGUAGGAAGGUAAUGAGGGAGACUAGGCUCCAUCUAGCAACCAUAUGUGCAGAAAUGACAAAGAAAACAGGACCUAGAGUUUGGAGAGAGGGUAGGUGGGGUUCUUCUGACUUCUCAGAGUACAGAGUCACAUGGUUUCCCAGAAAGCAAGGUUCACAGGACACAUGCAUAUGGACAUGAACACAAGAAGAGUCUCGAUCAUAAGGCUGGGCCUCCAGGAACCUGAGGAAAGCUGCCCAGCCAUGCCUCAUGGAGAGUGAAUGUUUAAAAAUCAGAAGGUCAUUCAAGACUGAGGACAUCUCCGGAACCAGGUUUUAAGGCUGUCCUCUUAGCGGGUGGGUUUUGUCCACUCUUCAGCUCCACCGCUGACAUUAUCAGACUUUUUCCUGUAGGCACCAGAGUCACGGGGCCUAUGACAAUGUUUCAGAUCUUGAAAAUACAUUAUGAGUCCAAAAUAUGAAACAAGAACUAUAAAAAUCCCAUUGAUACACAUUUUAUUAGUAUACCCAAAGUUCAUUAAUUUAAUAUUUGUGCUGGGUGUGGUGGCUUUACACCUGUAAUCUCGGUGCUUUGGGAGGCCAAGGUUGGAGGACUGCUUGAAGCCAGGAGUUUGAGACCUGCCUGGGCGACACAGGGAGACCCCACAUCUCUACAAAAAAUAAAGAUAAAAAUUAGCUGGGCGCAGUUGUGUUUGCCUGUUGUCCCACCUACUCGGGAGGCGGAAGUGGGAGGAUCGCUUGAGCCCAGGAGUUUCAAGUGCAGUGAGCCAUGAUCCCUUCACUGCCCUACAGCCUGGGCAACAGAGCAAAACACUGUCACUAAUAAAUAAAUAAAUAUUUAAUAUUUGUAAAAUAUUUGAAAUCAAAUUGUAAGUUAGGAUCUCAUAUUUCCCAAAUAUGCCCAAUGAUUGAGACAUCAAAGCCAAUCAUAAAUGAAAUGUGUCAAGAUUCUAUACACAGAAAAUUGUAAGCAGGAAACUUAAUGUGAGCAUGGUGACAUUUUAGUGUGUUUGAUGUGCAGCCUCUGAAGCUCUUCAAAUUGGCCUGGAGGAGAUUCAGCACCUUAUGUGAGUCAAUUCAACAUUGUUUAUUAAGCACCUACUAUGUACUAGGCAUUGUUCCAGAAACUUGAGUGACAUCGAUGGACCCAAAAAAGAUGUGUCCUCAUCUCUAAAGGGAAACAGUGAAAAGGAAGCAAAAUCAAUAAGUAAAACAUGUAGUGUGUUUGAAGGUAACAAGGAAUAAUAAAAAGUGAGGCCAGGUAAGGGGACCAGGAGGGGUGGGGUGGGGUGGGGUGGGAGAAAGCAGUGGCAAGAAAUGGAGUUGUCAGUUUAGGCCUCUGUUAAAAAGUGAGAUGUGAGAAGGACUUGAAGAAGGUGAGCCAAGGAAAUAUCUGGAAGGAAUGUGUUCCAAGAAGGGCGAACAGCUACAAUAAAGGCCUAAGAUAUGCCUGCUGUGCUUGAGGAACAGCAAGGGGGCCAGUGUAACUUGAAGUGGGAGGCACAGAAACAAUGUUGGGUCAGGGUGCAGGUCCGCCAGGCCCUACAGGUCAUCACAGGGAAUUGCUUCACACUCAAGGAAAUUGGGGACCGUAGGAAGUUCUGCGCAAGUGGAAGGUGGGAGCUGCCAUUGGCAGGAACUGGGAGAGUUGAGGGUGAGAGUGAGGCAUGUUUGGGGUAGGAACAGGAGCAAUCAGGAUUUCAGGUUGGACAUGUUGAGUCUGAGCAUCUGUGAAACAUUCAGAUAGAGAGGUUAAGUGGGCAGUUGGGCCUAUGAGUAGGAGCUCGGGAGAGGUGGACAGGUUCGAGUUUUCGGCAGAUUUUAUAGAGAUGAUGUUUAAGGCCACAGAGUGGGAUGACCUCACUAAGGGAGAGUGGAGAAGGAGAAAAGAAAAGGAAAAAGGCCAGAACCCUGGGCACUCCAACUGUUAUGGGCUGGGGAGAAGAGAGACGAGGAAGAGCCAGCAAAACAAGCUGAUGCGUGACCGGGGACACAGGAGGAAAACCAAGAGAGUGUUGUCCAGGAAGUCAACGCAGCACAGGAAGGCAGAGGGCUGCCAUGAUGAACAUACAGGAAUGCAAGUGCAGGUCUGAACAGGGCUUGGACAUAUGAACAACUCAGCAAGUGAUAGCUAUUUUUUUUUUUUUUUUUUUGAGACAGUGUCUUGCUCUGUCACCCAAGCUGGAGUGCAGUGGUACAAUCAUGAUUCACUGCAGUCUUUACCUCCUGGGCUCAAGCAAUCCUCCUGUUUCAGCCUCCCAAGUAGCUGAGACCACAGGCAUGUGCCAAUACAACCAGCUAAUUUUUUAAUUUUUUUGUAGUUGUACAAAAAAAUUAAAUUUUUAAAUUUUUUUUUGCUGCCCAGGCUGGUCUCAAUCCUCCCACUUUGGCCUCCCAAAGUGCUGGGAUUACAGGUGUGAGCCACUGUGCCCAGCCAUCAUUGUUAUUUGAAUUACUGUACGAGUAGUGUUACGUGAGCACUGCGUGAGCGGAGGAAGGUGGAAGGCCUGGCAGAGAAACGAGCUCUUUGCUAAUCAGAUUAUCAUGGCUAAGAAUCUACAGUCAACCAGAGUCUGAUGGAGGGGCAUCUUUGCUUAGCUACUCGCAGAUUAAAGCAAUUCUGCCCUGAGGAAAAGGUCCCAGGUUUAGAGACAGGGCCUUUCUGCUCCUUCCGGCCCCCUGCAUUCCCCACGGUGGGGAAUCUGCAGGCAGGACACUGUUCUGCUGGUGCUCGGUAUUGUCCCCCGGCUUGAGCUGUCAGAUGAUUCCCUGGACCCCUUUUGACCUCUGCCUUUGACCUGGGGAUCAGGUGAUGUGUGACUGGAGGCAGGUCUGCGCAUCCUCUGAGGUGACAGCUCACUUGAGCUCCCCCUUGUCUCUGCCUGUCACCAGGAGAAAACACCCCCUGUUGGGUUUUCUAAACACGCAUCAGCUUGGGCGGUGACCCAGCCAUAGACACUGAGGAGCGGCUGAAGCAAGGUGUGGCGAAGGUUCCAGCAGAGCCUGGGGAAGGGCCCCCAGAAAGUCAGAUUCUCCCCAAGGCCAUCUCUGGAGCUUGGCUUGAGUGUGGUUGUCUGCCAGGCUCUGGGGGCCUUGCAGUGGUGACUCAUGGGCCAUUUUUGGAGCCCAGACAACUGGAGAGAUCAUCAGACGGUUUGCUGGCUGUCUCAUGAGGCUGCACGUGUAGCUCUGCCAUCCGUCCGUGUGUCCUCGGCAGCUUGCACAUGCCCGGAGCUCUGAAUCUGCAGAGGACAGCUUAUCUUGGAACACCUUUGGGAUGGGAAACUGAUCACCUUUCAAGGAAGCCCAGUCCAUCUGCAUCUGUGCUAGAAAGUUCUUCCUUCUACCGACUCAGAAGCAGUCUCCCUGCUGUUUCCUCCUUGCAUCACGGAGCAAAGCCUGCUGCUUUUUCCAGGAGCAGUGGGGGCACGAAAUGUCCUAUUGUUUACGUACCCAAAGAGUGCUUGCUCUAAGCUCCUUCUCCACGAGAACUCUGCAGCUGCCGCUGACCACAGGAUGCUCGUUUGGACAAUGAAGCCCCUUUCUAAUGGGAGGAUACUUUCAGGAUUGUUGCCCCUAGUGAGCUUCCUACUCCUCCCCUUCCGGUUGCCCCCGGUGUGCCCUCAGGCUCCUGGCAACUCCACUGCUUCACUCAGCCAUCACUCCAACUAGCUUUCUAUAUCUCCAUGCCCCUGUGUUCAGUCCUAAGUGGAGCUACUGGAUAUUUGAGCCUCUCACUCAGCAAGCCUUGGAGCUCCUUCCCUUAAGCCCUACUAGCACCCUUCCCCCAUGCAUGUAGGUCCCGGGGCCCAGCCACCACUGCAGGCAUGGAGGAAGGGGGUGGGCAGUGCACAGGUAUCCAUGGCAAAGGGCCAGCGGGCUGUAUCUGUGGAAACAGAAUCUGUAGCCUCCCUCACUGAUCCUCUCUGAAUCCCCAGCGCUGGAGGGUGUA